RNAcentral lists this transfer RNA (71 nucleotides) under Bos taurus (domestic cattle). It matches the Rfam family "tRNA". Rfam says of the family: Transfer RNA (tRNA) molecules are approximately 80 nucleotides in length. Their secondary structure includes four short double-helical elements and three loops (D, anti-codon, and T loops). Further hydrogen bonds mediate the characteristic L-shaped molecular structure. tRNAs have two regions of fundamental functional importance: the anti-codon, which is responsible for specific mRNA codon recognition, and the 3' end, to which the tRNAs corresponding amino acid is attached (by aminoacyl-tRNA synthetases). tRNAs cope with the degeneracy of the genetic code in two manners: having more than one tRNA (with a specific anti-codon) for a particular amino acid; and 'wobble' base-pairing, i.e. permitting non-standard base-pairing at the 3rd anti-codon position. The record is from Rfam by way of RNAcentral. Lineage: Eukaryota; Metazoa; Chordata; Mammalia; Artiodactyla; Bovidae. RNAcentral also lists the same sequence under 3 other names.
UCACUGAUGCCUCAGUGGUAAAGCAUCUGCCUACCAUGCAGGUGACCCAGGUUCAAUUCCUGGGUUGGGAA